Molecule: ribosomal RNA, 597 nt
Filed under: Salmonella enterica subsp. enterica serovar Infantis
Lineage: Bacteria; Pseudomonadati; Pseudomonadota; Gammaproteobacteria; Enterobacterales; Enterobacteriaceae
Also listed under: 1 other name
Description: partial 23S ribosomal RNA
Rfam family: Bacterial large subunit ribosomal RNA
Source: RNAcentral
AGACCCGAAACCCGGUGAUCUAGCCAUGGGCAGGUUGAAGGUUGGGUAACACUAACUGGAGGACCGAACCGACUAAUGUUGAAAAAUUAGCGGAUGACCUGUGGCUGGGGGUGAAAGGCCAAUCAAACCGGGAGAUAGCUGGUUCUCCCCGAAAGCUAUUUAGGUAGCGCCUCGUGAAUUCAUCUCCGGGGGUAGAGCACUGUUUCGGCUAGGGGGCCAUCCCGGCUUACCAACCCGAUGCAAACUGCGAAUACCGGAGAAUGUUAUCACGGGAGACACACGGCGGGUGCUAACGUCCGUCGUGAAGAGGGAAACAACCCAGACCGCCAGCUAAGGUCCCAAAGUCAUGGUUAAGUGGGAAACGAUGUGGGAAGGCCCAGACAGCCAGGAUGUUGGCUUAGAAGCAGCCAUCAUUUAAAGAAAGCGUAAUAGCUCACUGGUCGAGUCGGCCUGCGCGGAAGAUGUAACGGGGCUAAACCAUGCACCGAAGCUGCGGCAGCGACACUCAGGUGUUGUUGGGUAGGGGAGCGUUCUGUAAGCCUGCGAAGGUGGCCUGUGAGGGUUGCUGGAGGUAUCAGAAGUGCGAAUGCUGACAUA